This 334-nucleotide unclassified non-coding RNA is filed under the name soil metagenome. RNAcentral describes it as "partial contains 5.8S ribosomal RNA, internal transcribed spacer 2, and large subunit ribosomal RNA". The stretch from base 1 to 120 matches the Rfam family "5.8S ribosomal RNA", at positions 35 to 154 of the family's 154-position model. The record is from RNAcentral.
GAUGAAGAACGCAGCGAAAUGCGAUAAGUAAUGUGAAUUGCAGAAUUCAGUGAAUCAUCGAAUCUUUGAACGCACAGUGCGCCCCCCAGUAUUCUGGCGGGCAUGCCUGUUCGAGCGUCAUUUCAACCAUCAAGCCCUGCUUGUGUUGGGGUCCUGCGGCUGCCCGCAGGCCCUGAAAACCAGUGGCGGGCUCGCUAGUCACACCGAGCGCAGUAGCACAUCUCGCUCAGGGCGUGCGGCGGGCUCCAGCCGUUAAAGCACCCACCUUUCGCAAGGUUGACCUCGGAUCAGGUAGGAAUACCCGCUGAACUUAAGCAUAUCAAUAAGCGGAGGA